Long non-coding RNA from Cyprinus carpio carpio, 478 nucleotides. The record is from Ensembl. Lineage: Eukaryota; Metazoa; Chordata; Actinopteri; Cypriniformes; Cyprinidae.
GGAGAAUGCAAACAACGUGAUUCCAACAUCCAGCCAUGCAAGAAAACGUGCAUUUUACCCGAGGGAACACAGAAUCAAUAAGGAAAGUCGUCUUUCUUUAAUCAGAGUUGGAGUGGACCUCUUGUUGAAGAACUUCUCCAGGCACUAUGAACCAUCUGACUAAUGCUGUCAUGAAACGCCAUGAAAAGGCAACUGCUGGACACCUGGGACAGGCCAUCAAUUCCAAGUUGGCGUCAAUUCCCUGUUAGAGUUUAGAGUUGUCUAAUAGAGAGGGUGAAGGAAGAACAUCCAAACCCUGCCCCUGCUUCCUUCAAGAUUUUUUAUGGAUUUAUAUAAUGGUGUUUUUUCAUAAAGUAAAGGCAGUGGCAAAAUUAACAUGACACUACUUUGAUGUUUUGUUCUACAAAUUAAACCACACACACACUCCAAAAACACCAAUUUUGAUACAAUUUGCAUUUGCAAGAAAAAAAAUCAAAGU